AAUAACCAAAAUUUUUUAAACAAUCAAUAAACGCGUGCAUAUAGUUACCAUCAUUUUACACUGUCAUUGCACGCCACUCUUACUUUGCAUAUGGCGCGGGAAUCCCGAUGAUGGGAUUUCCCCGAGGAGCUCGUAGAGACGAGUUCUUCCGGGGAUAUCUCUAGGUGAGGAGAAUUUCGAGGCUUCACCAAAGCGUUGGGAUAGUCUUCGAAUAAUUUUCCAAUAAAAGAUUACCGACUCCAUCAUUUAAAAUAAACAAGUCACGACAUCAUUCUACGCUUG
Molecule: long non-coding RNA, 282 nt
Filed under: Theobroma cacao (cacao)
Lineage: Eukaryota; Viridiplantae; Streptophyta; Magnoliopsida; Malvales; Malvaceae
Description: long non-coding RNA (TCAC_LNC000066)
Source: RNAcentral